Long non-coding RNA from Nelumbo nucifera (sacred lotus), 634 nucleotides. RefSeq lists it as uncharacterized. The record is from RefSeq and is a predicted model, not a curated record. Lineage: Eukaryota; Viridiplantae; Streptophyta; Magnoliopsida; Proteales; Nelumbonaceae.
UCCAUUGUAGCUAUUCUCAUUCUCCAUUUAUAUUACAACAAAAGAACCAAAGCACUGUUUUUGGCAAGGGUUUUUGAGAUUUUAGUAGAUGGAAAGAACGACGGCAGCUCCGAUGGCUAAGAAGAGUGGCAAUAACUCCAUUGAAGCAGCUCUAUUCCAAACUAUUUAACAGAUUAAAAGCUCUAAUGCAGAGUAGUGUAUGAGCAAAGCUAUACAUACCUAUAGUAGAUUGGAAGAAUGGCAGUAGCUCUCCUAGAUUAGAAGAAUAGAUGGUGGUAUUGGUUUAGGAUUCCAGGUCUCCUGGAUUAAAAGAAUGAAUGGAUGGCAAAGCUAUACCUGUAGCAGAAGCUCCGAUUCUAUGACAAACAAGCCCUGUGAUGUAAGGAUUCUAAAGGCCAUAUUUUUGGAAUUUCGCUUCAAAUUAUUGGGGAAAUGGGCAGUUUUUGUGGGAUGUGGUUUGUGGGAGUGGUUAUUGUGAAUGCAGUAGAAAUAAAAGUUAGGCCUUCUAUGUACAAUCUAUACUUGAUUUUGAAGCAGGGGAUCAUUCAAAAAUCUUGUCAUUUCUUUUGAAAGUCAUGUGUAAAUUGUGUUACCAAGUCAUUUACUGAUUUGCAAUUUAGUUAUUUAUAAUUAA